RNAcentral lists this non-coding RNA (171 nucleotides) under Proteiniclasticum ruminis. The record is from RNAcentral. Lineage: Bacteria; Bacillati; Bacillota; Clostridia; Eubacteriales; Clostridiaceae.
UACACCGCGAGGUGCAGCUGAAGGAAGCCGGCGGCAAACUUCUGGUCUGACGGACAGAAAUCGCAUGAGGCAUAUGGAUUCUGGGUAAGGUUGCCAAACAAGCCAAAGCCCCAUAGCUAUCCGAAAGGUCCUAUGUAGAUGAGGCAGAUAGAUGGAAGGAAAGAUUAUACU